Regulatory RNA element from Hydrocarboniphaga effusa AP103, 66 nucleotides. Lineage: Bacteria; Pseudomonadati; Pseudomonadota; Gammaproteobacteria; Nevskiales; Nevskiaceae. The record is from Rfam.
GGGUCAAGCGGCCAAGGAUGGCCGCUUGAGGCUCGUCGCGACACGACGUCGCGUCGAGCCGACCCC